This 71-nucleotide transfer RNA is filed under the name bacterium. RNAcentral's name for it is "tRNA-Gln". It matches the Rfam family "tRNA". Rfam says of the family: Transfer RNA (tRNA) molecules are approximately 80 nucleotides in length. Their secondary structure includes four short double-helical elements and three loops (D, anti-codon, and T loops). RNAcentral also lists the same sequence under 4 other names. The record is from RNAcentral.
UGCGGGCUAGUGUAAUGGCAGCACGACAGACUCUGGCUCUGUUUGUGAGGGUUCAAAUCCUUCGCCCGCAG